UUCCUCGCUGACUGUGGGAGGAAUACAAGAAUCUACAGGUCGAGCAAGUCUCGUAAAUUUCACGAUUGCGAGCCACGCUUCACGCAACCGUGUUUGCGUACUUGUGUUUCGAGUUGCGUGGUCGUGCGGAGUUAUAUUUACCAAAUUUAAAUGUAAUCGUUUCUACUGAUAAUAAUAUACUAUUCUCAAUAUGGCUACUGGGUGUAAAAGAUAAAUCUUAUUCUAUCUGUUCUUCAUGAGUUUUAGAUAAUUUUAGUUGUAUUUCUUUGUAAUUUUGUGUUGUACAAAGAUUAAUUUAACAUUUUCUCUGGAAGUAUUAAUUUAGAAAGAUAAUAUGCUUCAUUGGUGUUGUGUUUUGAAGUGUGAAAUGCAAAGUAAUUGUGAAGUCAAGAUAAAGUUCACUUUUAAACUGAACUAAAUAAGGUAUCUGAGAGACAACAAUGGUUAAAUGCAAUACAAUGUACAGGUUUUACUAGCGAAAUGAAAAUUUUCCUGUCCUGUCUGCUGUAAUCAUUUUAUAUCUGGAAAAUAGGAAAACCAGCCGACUUAAUCGAUAAUAACAAUCUCCAGAUUGGGUUCCUUCAAUAAAUAUGGGCUAUAAACACAAUGAAAUAAGUUCCCCAAAAUCUAAAAUGGAGUGGUAUCAAAGGAGAAUUAAAGGAAAUAAUAUUCAUAUUGAAAUUAUUUAUAAGGCACUGGACUGUCUUAAAUUCUACAAUAAUACUAGAAUCAGCUGAGAGAAGUGGUCUACAAAAAACCAGGAAGGAAACGGAAUAUGUGGCUACGAAAGGCAAAAGAAAGGUUUACAAAGCAAAUGUGACACAUUUUUUUAAAAUAUUUAGGAAUAUCAGUAAAUUGCAUUAAAAAAUGUAUGAAAAGAUUUUGUUCAAUAAAAAUGUUUAUAUUUA
This 908-nucleotide long non-coding RNA is filed under the name Diabrotica virgifera virgifera (western corn rootworm). RNAcentral's name for it is "uncharacterized LOC126886411". The record is from RNAcentral. Lineage: Eukaryota; Metazoa; Arthropoda; Insecta; Coleoptera; Chrysomelidae.